UACGGAGGGUGCAAGCGUUAUCCGGAUUCACUGGGUUUAAAGGGUGCGUAGGUGGGCAGGUAAGUCCGUGGUGAAAUCUCUGAGCUUAACUCAGAAACUGCCGUGGAUACUAUUUGUCUUGAAUAUUGUGGAGGUGAGCGGAAUAUGUCAUGUAGCGGUGAAAUGCUUAGAUAUGACAUAGAACACCAAUUGCGAAGGCAGCUCACUACACAAUUAUUGACGCUGAGGCACGAAAGCGUGGGGAGUCAAACAGG
Molecule: ribosomal RNA, 254 nt
Filed under: uncultured bacterium
Lineage: Bacteria
Description: partial 16S ribosomal RNA
Rfam family: Bacterial small subunit ribosomal RNA
Source: RNAcentral